AAAUUGAAGAGUUUGAUCAUGGCUCAGAUUGAACGCUGGCGGCAGGCCUAACACAUGCAAGUCGAACGGUAACAGGAAGAAGCUUGCUUCUUUGCUGACGAGUGGCGGACGGGUGAGUAAUGUCUGGGAAACUGCCUGAUGGAGGGGGGUAACUACUGGAAACGGUAGCUAAUACCGCAUAACGUCGCAAGACCAAAGAGGGGGACCUUCGGGCCUCUUGCCAUCGGAUGUGCCCAGAUGGGAUUAGCUAGUAGGUGGGGUAACGGCUCACC
Molecule: ribosomal RNA, 272 nt
Filed under: Escherichia coli
Lineage: Bacteria; Pseudomonadati; Pseudomonadota; Gammaproteobacteria; Enterobacterales; Enterobacteriaceae
Description: partial 16S ribosomal RNA
Rfam family: Bacterial small subunit ribosomal RNA
Source: RNAcentral